Molecule: long non-coding RNA, 1503 nt
Organism: Hemicordylus capensis (graceful crag lizard)
Lineage: Eukaryota; Metazoa; Chordata; Lepidosauria; Squamata; Cordylidae
Exons: 4
Source: RefSeq, a predicted model, not a curated record
GAGAAGUCAGCAAGGAAAUGGGAGGGAAAGGAGGAGAGCAUGGAGUUGUUUCUGAAUACACUCUUAGAGAAAUCUAAAUAAGAAUACUUUGUGUUUGUGAGGGAAGCAGCUAUAAAACAUCACCGCAGGCAUAACUGUGGCCACCGGAGACACAUGAUCAUAGCACCCACCUGUAAAAUUAGUACCAUUGUUUUUCGUUUUGGAGGAGAGGGGGCUGAGCUGAGUGUGAAUUGGGUUCAAAGGAGGAAUCUAUCUGGGAGUUCAAGAAUGAUCCUCAGGACCAAGAAGAUAUGGAUACCACCCAAAUGCUGAAUUGCUUCAGUAAAAUAUUUGCUAUAAUUACUGUUGAAGGACAUCCAGACUAGUGUUGAGCUAGUGCAACAAGAGAAGUUGCACACGGUUAAGAAGUUUGCAGAGCUGUGUGAAGUUGUGGUGUUCCAGGAUACGACACGAUUGUGAGAUGCUUUCAAGGUUGAAAAUAACUUCCCUUUUGCCUCACUCAUGUUGUUGCGACUGGCAGACUCUAGAAUGAAAAAGAAUGUGCUGGAAAUGGCAGGAUCCUGCCAAAACAAAUGGAUGGCACAGUGGAAUCCUGCAUGGAAGUUAUAUGCACUGCGAACUAGGCAUUUUUCUAAGUGACUGCCCAGCUGUAGGUGUGGCUAACACUCUGUAACUCACCUACAAAAUACUUAUUUGUUCAGCCGUACAAGAGAGAGAAAGAAAGAGAGAGAGAGAGAGAAAUUAGCAUGACGCAGUGGCAAAAGUUCCAUUUAAUGAAGAUAAAGUUCCUGAGAAAAGAGUGAAGUGAGUCGUGCCGGGUCCAUGCCUAUGAAAAUGCCACAGCCUGGAGAUUAAAAGGUUUUAGGAGGAAAUAAUACUUUUCUUGUCACUAGUCUUCACUGGCAGAAUGAGCGCAACAGCUGGAAGGCAUAUGCACAGUGUUUACUGGAGCGAUUCUUACACUUUCAGACAGAAGGAAAUCCUGUGCGGGAUUGGAAAGUGCAGAGAGCUGUCACCAGGGAAUAGGCUGUCUGUGUGUCUCUGUGAAAUGAAAGCCGUGCGGACCACAGACUCUGCAGUGGGCACUUCCUGCUCCACUUUCCGGAGCAGAUCAAGAUUCCUUUCUCCCUCCUGCCUAUUUUUUGGGGGGAGGGGGGCAUGUAAAAUCUAGUGAUUGUAUCUGCAAAGAUGCUGAAGAGGUUCAGGAUUUACUUUGUAUCAGACUUCAAAAAAAUCAUAUUAAUCCUGGGUUUCUUGGCAAAGGGUGAUUCUGGAACGUUUGCCAUCUCUCGGGUCACAUAGAUUGCUCUUUGCAGGCUAAUAAGACACUUGAUAUCACUUAGGGCUUUUUCCAGGGGGCGGGAGAAAUGGCAUAGUUUUCAAACUACUGCUUACGUUGAUCGGAAACACCCAGCAAAGAAAAGGGUAAAUUGUGGCACUGUUGAUUGACCACUUUACAGCAAUGUUUGGCAUUCAUGGCUGAUCAUUAAUAAAGAGCAUGCU